This 490-nucleotide ribosomal RNA is filed under the name uncultured bacterium. RNAcentral describes it as "partial 16S ribosomal RNA". It matches the Rfam family "Bacterial small subunit ribosomal RNA", at positions 30 to 507 of the family's 1533-position model. The record is from RNAcentral.
AUUGAACGCUGGCGGCAGGCCUAACACAUGCAAGUCGAACGGUAACAGGAAGAAGCUUGCUUCUUUGCUGACGAGUGGCGGACGGGUGAGUAAUGUCUGGGAAACUGCCUGAUGGAGGGGGAUAACUACUGGAAACGGUAGCUAAUACCGCAUAACGUCGCAAGACCAAGAAGGGGGACCUUCGGGCCUCUUGCCAUCGGAUGUGCCCAGAUGGGAUUAGCUAGUAGGUGGGGUAACGGCUCACCUAGGCGACGAUCCCUAGCUGGUCUGAGAGGAUGACCAGCCACACUGGAACUGAGACACGGUCCAGACUCCUACGGGAGGCAGCAGUGGGGAAUAUUGCACAAUGGGCGCAAGCCUGAUGCAGCCAUGCCGCGUGUAUGAAGAAGGCCUUCGGGUUGUAAAGUACUUUCAGCGGGGAGGAAGGGAGUAAAGUUAAUACCUUUGCUCAUUGACGUUACCCGCAGAAGAAGCACCGGCUAACUCCGUG